This 166-nucleotide ribosomal RNA is filed under the name uncultured bacterium. RNAcentral describes it as "partial 16S ribosomal RNA". It matches the Rfam family "Bacterial small subunit ribosomal RNA", at positions 1334 to 1500 of the family's 1533-position model. The record is from RNAcentral.
GCUAGUAAUGGCAGGUCAGCAUACUGCCGUGAAUACGUUCCCGGGCCUUGUACACACCGCCCGUCACACCAUGAGAGUUGGGAAUACCCGAAGCCUGUGAGCUAACUUAUAGAGGCAGCAGUCGAAGGUAGAAUCAAUGAUUGGGGUGAAGUCGUAACAAGGUAGC